RNAcentral lists this long non-coding RNA (258 nucleotides) under Capsicum annuum. Its description in RNAcentral is "long non-coding RNA (CANN_LNC010371)". Lineage: Eukaryota; Viridiplantae; Streptophyta; Magnoliopsida; Solanales; Solanaceae. The record is from RNAcentral.
CCACACACAAGGAUUUGGGGGCCGCGAUGUAAAUCCCCAAGGGUGCAGACUUUGGGUUGUCGUCGGUGUUGCAUGUCAUUGAGGACAAGGACUACUUCAAGUGUGUGAGGGUGUGACGCCCCAAAGUUUUGGGGCCUGUCACUCGCCAAGAUUGUGCGUGCCAACUAGGCCGCAACCUUGUCAGCUAUGCAGGCGGCAUGUGCUGAGGGAAUAUGCUGAAGUCGAAGAUGAGGCAAAGGGGCAUAACAUGAGGAAAAA